RNAcentral lists this long non-coding RNA (208 nucleotides) under Vigna radiata. RNAcentral's name for it is "long non-coding RNA (VRAD_LNC000996)". Lineage: Eukaryota; Viridiplantae; Streptophyta; Magnoliopsida; Fabales; Fabaceae. The record is from RNAcentral.
AGUCAAACAGCUGGUGACGUCUAUGACAUUAGAGACGUCGGUCGCCCAUGCAACGAAUGCCUAAAAUUCGCGUUAUUAAUUAUAUUUAAAUUAUAAAGACAUCAAAUUAGUGAGAGCACCGACAUCUAGAACAUUAUAGACGUCGGUGGACAAACGUAACCUACGUCUAUAGCCAUUUAUACUCAGAGCGCAAACCCGCGAGCAGUUA